Molecule: ribosomal RNA, 1451 nt
Filed under: Acinetobacter pittii
Lineage: Bacteria; Pseudomonadati; Pseudomonadota; Gammaproteobacteria; Moraxellales; Moraxellaceae
Description: bacterial LSU rRNA
Rfam family: Bacterial large subunit ribosomal RNA
Source: RNAcentral
GAUGUAGGUAUGUAUCUUAGGCAAAUCCGGGGUACUCUAUACUGAGAUCCGAUAGCAAGCUGUACUUGUACAGUGAAGUGGCUGAUACCAUGCUUCCAGGAAAAGUCUCUAAGCUUCAGUUACACAGGAAUCGUACCCGAAACCGACACAGGUGGUCAGGUCGAGUAGACCAAGGCGCUUGAGAGAACUCUGCUGAAGGAACUAGGCAAAAUGGUACCGUAACUUCGGGAGAAGGUACGCUGUUGUUGGUGAUGGAACUUGCUUCCUGAGCUGACGACAGCCGCAGAAACCAGGCCGCUGCAACUGUUUAUUAAAAACAUAGCACUCUGCAAACACGAAAGUGGACGUAUAGGGUGUGAUGCCUGCCCGGUGCUGGAAGGUUAAUUGAUGGGGUUAGCGUAAGCGAAGCUCUUGAUCGAAGCCCCAGUAAACGGCGGCCGUAACUAUAACGGUCCUAAGGUAGCGAAAUUCCUUGUCGGGUAAGUUCCGACCUGCACGAAUGGCAUAAUGAUGGCGGCGCUGUCUCCAGCAGAGGCUCAGUGAAAUCGAAAUCGCUGUGAAGAUGCAGUGUACCCGCGGCUAGACGGAAAGACCCCGUGAACCUUUACUGCAGCUUGACACUGAACUUUGACCUUACUUGUGUAGGAUAGGUGGGAGGCUUUGAAGUUGGAACGCUAGUUCCAAUGGAGCCGUCCUUGAAAUACCACCCUGGUAAUGUUGAGGUUCUAACUCUGUCCCGUUAUCCGGGACGAGGACCGUGUCUGGUGGGUAGUUUGACUGGGGCGGUCUCCUCCUAAAGAGUAACGGAGGAGUACGAAGGUGCGCUCAGCGUGGUCGGAAAUCACGCGUAGAGUAUAAAGGCAAAAGCGCGCUUAACUGCGAGACCCACAAGUCGAGCAGGUACGAAAGUAGGUCUUAGUGAUCCGGUGGUUCUGUAUGGAAGGGCCAUCGCUCAACGGAUAAAAGGUACUCUGGGGAUAACAGGCUGAUACCGCCCAAGAGUUCAUAUCGACGGCGGUGUUUGGCACCUCGAUGUCGGCUCAUCUCAUCCUGGGGCUGAAGCAGGUCCCAAGGGUAUGGCUGUUCGCCAUUUAAAGAGGUACGCGAGCUGGGUUUAGAACGUCGUGAGACAGUUCGGUCCCUAUCUACCGUGGGCGCUGGAAAUUUGAGAGGAUCUGCUCCUAGUACGAGAGGACCAGAGUGGACGAACCUCUGGUGUACCGGUUGUGACGCCAGUCGCAUCGCCGGGUAGCUAUGUUCGGAAGGGAUAACCGCUGAAAGCAUCUAAGCGGGAAGCCUACCUCAAGAUAAGAUUUCCCUAGGAAUUUAUUCCUCUAAAGAGCCGUUCGAGACUAGGACGUUGAUAGGUUGGAUGUGGAAGCAUAGUGAUAUGUGAAGCUGACCAAUACUAAUUGCUCGUGAGGCUUGACUAUACAACACCCAAGCAGUUG